AACCAAGGAGACGCUCCUGGCACUGCAGAUAACUGUCUGCAUUUCAAGAACAACCUACCAGAGACCUUACCUGUCACCUUGGCUCUCCCACCCAAUGGAGAUGGCUCUAAUGGUGGCACAAACCAGGAAGGGGAAAUCUGUGGUUUAAAUUCUUUAUGCCUCAUCCUCUGAGUGCUGAAGGCUUGCUGUAGGCUGUAUGCUGUUAAUGCUAAUCGUGAUAGGGGUUUUUACCUCCAACUGACUCCUACAUGUUAGCAUUAACAGGGUAUGAUGCCUGUUACUAGCAUUCACAUGGAACAAAUUGCUGCCGUGGGAGGAUGACAAAGAAGCAUGAGUCACCCUGCUGGAUAAACUUAGACUUCAGGCUUUAUCAUUUUUCAAUCUGUUAAUCAUAAUCUGAUCACUGGGAUGUUCAACCUUAAACUAAGUUUUAAAAGUAAGGUUAUUUAAAAAAUUUAUCAGUAGUAUCCUAAAUGCAAACAUUUUCAUUUAAAUAUCAAGCCCACGUUUGUUUUUAUCAUUAACAGAAAAUGUAUUCCUGUCAUUCUUAAUUGCAGGUUUUGACUUGUUCAAUAUAAUGUCCAUAAAUACCUUUGAUUCAACUGUUAGAAAUGUGGGCUAAACACAAAUUUCUAUAAUAUUUUUGUAGUUAAAAAUUAGAAGGACUACUAACCUCCAGUUAUAUCAUGGAUUGUCUAGCAACAUUUUUAAAAAUAUUUAGAAACUGGUACUUUCCCCCAUGUAACGAUUUGCUGUUUAGGCAACUUCAGUUUAGAAUUAAUACUUUCAUUUGACUCUUAAAGGGAAAUUGAAAGGCUAUGAAGCUGAAUUUUUUAAGUGAGAUAUUUUUAACAAGUAGCAGGGUAAAUAACAUCUGAGAGCUAGUGAGAUAUUGUUUCCAUACAAGAUACAAAGAUUUAAUUAAAAAACUCAUAUUUGAAAUGAAGUCCCAAAUCUAGGUU
Molecule: long non-coding RNA, 962 nt
Organism: Macaca mulatta (Rhesus monkey)
Lineage: Eukaryota; Metazoa; Chordata; Mammalia; Primates; Cercopithecidae
Gene: MIR155HG
Product: MIR155 host gene
Source: RefSeq, marked validated